This is a long non-coding RNA of Halichondria panicea, 1797 nucleotides long. RefSeq lists it as uncharacterized. NCBI's taxonomy places the organism in Eukaryota, Metazoa, Porifera, Demospongiae, Suberitida, Halichondriidae. The transcript is spliced from 4 exons. The record is from RefSeq and is a predicted model, not a curated record.
UCUAAUAAUUAUUGUACAGUACUAGAUGAUCUUCUCUGUUUUGGGUCAGAUGCAAUUGCCUUGAAUCACUAGCCAGUUUAAAACAUUUCUUCUACUCUUGGCUUAAGAAAUUGUAUUUUAUUAUUGUACCAGCAUUAGGUAGUUAACUCCACUUAUGCAUUGACCUCUACUACCGUGUAGCGGGAAAUUUCGUUAUUUGAGCCCUCGAGAAAUGUUGUAUAGUUGUUCACAUUUCAAUGCCAUAGCUUUGCAUGUGAAAUACUGGUGUGUGGGAGUGUCUUCCAUUUAUAUUACAUGAAGUGUGAAGUGUGCUGUAAGUUUGUACAGAGAGGACUCCCAUGGUGGCAAUGAAUGUAUGGCAAUGAUCUGAUGAUGGCUCCACUGCUCUGAUGGACCAAUGCAGGAGAAGUUAUUCUGUAUAAUUAUUACACUAAAUUAAUGUAUGCCACUGUUUGGAUCGGUUUCUGUUCUGCUCAGCUUCUUCCUCCAACUCGCUUACACAGGCUAAGCUUAUUCUUAGUUCAUUCUUAGUUCAUUCUAUAGUCUAGUAUAUUGUCGGUUUGGUUGUUUUAUGUUUUUCACCUGGUCAUACGGAAUCACUUCAUUAAUUUUUAUACAGUGCAGACCGCACCUCUAUCCACACAUUGUAUCUGCACAUCCUGUAUAUAUGGGGCCACACCCCCACUCACUGUACUGAUAUGUGGUCACACCCCCAUACAUGGUAACCCUCUUGACCACACCCCAACCCAUGCAUUGUGUCGUACAUGCUGUGUUUUUGUGUACAGUACACAUCAUCCGUGUCUUUAUCCCCACACCUAGUCGGAGGGACAGCAAGUUCUACUAAGAGCCAGCAUCACCAACUAACCAACACACUACAAAACCUACCUACUACCAGCUAGGACAGCACACCACCCGGGACAGACUCUACUAUACCAUGUAAUACGCCUUUGUAUUACGAUCAUGAUACAAUUUGCUGCCCUCCCUCGCCCAUGGAUUGAAUAAUUAUGGACACUCGCAGGAGACUGACACACAAUAAUAGACACCAAAGGGCCAGUUACUGUAUCAUGUACGAAUAUUCUGUUGCUUGUACAUUUCGUAACAUUAUCAGUAAUUGACUGUAGAGUAGCUCCCCUUUCUUUAUCACUCAAUGCAGGCAGUGUAUGUGAUUUUCUGACAGGAAAGGCUACUCUAAACAGAGGGAGUCGGCCACACAAGUCGGAGGGAGCAGCAAGUUCUACUAAGAGCCAGCAUCACCCACUAACCAACACUCUACAAGACCUACCUACUACCAGCUAGGACAGCACACCACCCGGGACAGACUCUACUAUACCCAUGUAAUACGCCUUUGUAUUACGAUCAUGAUACAAUUUGCUGCCCUCCCUCGCCAAUGGAUUGAAUAAUUAUGGACACUCGCAGGACAACUAAGAGACUGACACACAAUAAUAGACACCAAAGGCAGUGUAUGUGAUUUUCUGACAGGAAAGGCUACUCUAAACAAAGGGAGUCGGCCACACAAGUCGGAGGGAGCAGCAAGUUCUACUAAGAGCCAGCAUCACCAACUAACCAACACUACAAGACCUACCUACUACCAGCUAGGACAGCACACCACCCGGGACAGACUCUACUAUACCAUGUAAUACGCCUUUUUAUUACGAUCAUGAUACAAUUUGCUGCCCUCCCUUGCCCAUGGAUUGAAUAAUUAUGGACACUCGCAGGACAACUAAGAGACUGACACACAAUAAUAGACACCUAACUGCAUUUUUGCCAUUCAUAUAAUAAAAAUAAUUUUGCCAUUAA